Molecule: transfer RNA, 70 nt
Filed under: Phrynosoma platyrhinos (Desert horned lizard)
Lineage: Eukaryota; Metazoa; Chordata; Lepidosauria; Squamata; Phrynosomatidae
Description: tRNA-OTHER
Source: RNAcentral
GCCAGCAUGGCCUAGUGGUUUGAGUACUGGACUACAACUCUGGAGACCAGGUUCGAUUCCCAGCUUGGCC